RNAcentral lists this ribosomal RNA (406 nucleotides) under uncultured bacterium. Its description in RNAcentral is "partial 16S ribosomal RNA". It matches the Rfam family "Bacterial small subunit ribosomal RNA", at positions 30 to 526 of the family's 1533-position model. The record is from RNAcentral.
AUUGAACGCUGGCGGCAGGCCUAACACAUGCAAGUCGAACGAGUGGCGGACGGGUGAGUAAUGUCUGGGAAACUGCCUGAUGGAGGGGGAUAACUACUGGAAACGGUAGCUAAUAACGCAUACCAUCGGAUGUGCCCAGAUGGGAUUAGCUAGUAGGUGGGGUAACGGUUCACCUAGGCGAAGAUCCCUAGCUGGUCUGAGAGGAUGACCAGACACACUGGAACUGAGACACUGUCCAGACUCCUACGGGAGGCAGCAGUGGGGAAUAUUGCACAAUGGGCGCAAGCCGUAUGCAGCCAUGCCGAGUGUAUGAAGAAGGCCUUCGGGUUGUAAAGUACUUGCAGCGGGGAGGCGUUACCCGCAGAAGAAGCACCGGCUAACUCCGUGCCAGCAGCCGCGGUAAUAC